Molecule: RNA transcript, 4141 nt
Organism: Felis catus (domestic cat)
Lineage: Eukaryota; Metazoa; Chordata; Mammalia; Carnivora; Felidae
Gene name: cytochrome c oxidase assembly factor 1 homolog
Exons: 8
Source: RefSeq, a predicted model, not a curated record
CCAUCAGACCGGGGCCCACGAGGGUUGUGUGCCUGUUAUCCAGGGCCAGAACACUUGGGCAGAGGAGUCUAUUUCAUUUAUUGCUACAGCCUCUAAAUCUCUCAAGAUGUGGUCAGGGAGGUGGUGUGUGUGGCGUGGAGAGAACAGCUGUCUCCUUUCUCUAAUGUCCGAGGACCCCCUACAGGAUCAUCUGACCAGCCUUUGAACCACAGCCCAUGUGCUUGACUUGCAGGGUGUUGUUUCUGUAGACCACUGGCUGCAAAUUUGGCUGUGUAUUAGGCUCACCUGAGGAGGUUAAAAAACACCAGUGCCUGGAUCCCACUCCCAUAGAUUCUAUUUCAAUCGAUCUGAGGAGUGGCCUGGACAUCAAAAAAUUUUUUUAAGCUCUUCACAGGAUUCUGAUGUGCAGCCCAGUUUGAGAUCGUACCACCAGAUUGCUUCCAUCCUCCCCUGGUCAGAUCAUGACUGUGGCUUGAACCGUCUAGCUGCUUCUGUUUAUCUCCCUAAUGAUACUUCCUAUGGAUCUCCUCCAUCUGGGCUCGGAGGGAGGUGACAGGAGGGUCCUCGACCCUGUUUCACAGAUUGCCCUUUGACUCCGGAAAGGUGCUCACUCCUUUGAGAAGAGUUUGUAAGCCAUUAGCCUUUGGGGGCCUAAGUCACCCUUCGUGUGUCAGAGCAGAGUUACUGACUGCUUUCUGAAGAGAGCCUGCCUGUACUUUGUUCCGCUUUCCUGUGGCUAACCAGCUUCAUUUUCAAGAUGUGUCACAACCCUUGCCUCUUAGUUAACUGUAAAGCAAAAAAUAUUCCCCUGAUUGGCUGUGUAUUAGGCUAACUGAAUUUGAGUUUCUUGCAGAUUUUCACAUCAGAUUAACAAAUUUUCAGUGAUCAAAAGCUUAGUUCUAAAAUACAACAUUCCUGGAGGUAGCCUCAAAUCUAUCUCUAGUUCUCCAGCAUGCCUUUUUGAAUUUGUGGUGUGUGAGGUUGGGGGCUGCUGACCACUAUUUUCAAGGCUGCAGAUGAGAGCGACUUCUCUUUGAUGAUUUUCAAGAAAGCCGUGCUGUGAAGUGGCAAAGUCUUCAGGAAGCAAGAUGCCAUUGCCUCUGGGGAAACUGGUCCUUCUUUCCAGUGUGGUGGCCAGUGGGAGCUGCACCCUUAUAUAUUACCUUAUACGAAACUGCCUUUCUUUGAAGAUCCUUUAUGCCCACCCAGCCUGGCUUCUCACCCUGACUCUGCACCAUUUUCACUUCCUGCCAGGACCUAUCACCAGCAGACAGGCAGAGAGCGCUCAGUGUCCUGUGCAUCCCUUCUCCCCCGCCUUCCUUCAGCCUUGGCCCAGGGCUCUCUGAGUCUUGAGGUGGCCUGAGGCGAGCACAGCCAGGGGUAAUUCAGACUGGAAUAGCUCAGCCUCCUCUCCCCUCUGCCAAAGGGGUGGGAGCAGGACACAACAGGAAUGGGUACAUUUUAUGGGUCAGGAGACCGAGGUCUUUCCUCCUCAGUAGGCCGGGCUCGUCCAGGAGAGAUAGCCCAGCUGGCAUCUAUAGCCAACCGCCUGAGUUGAAUGCCAGAGCCAGCUCUGCGCUGGCUGUGUAGCCUUGUGGGAGGAUCUCUCACCUCCAUUAUCUGUGUGAUGAGGGGCAACACUAGUGCCUGUGCAUGAGGUUGUUGUAAAAUUAAAUAAAUUGUAAGACAUAGGAGAUACUGAGAACGGUGUCUCGCCAUGGAAAUCUGGACCUGACCUGUGCUCCUCCUUUUCCUGUCUUGGCUGGCACCAUGCUCAUACUUCCCAGUCCUGGGAAGUAGCCCAGGGUGAGCAUCCUCCCUGGCCUCUCCUGUCUCAGGCCAUCCUCCCCUUUCAUACUGGGAUGGGGCCUACAGGAGGGAAGCUCUUUCUUGUUGCCAAACUGAAACCCCUACUUGGGAAGCCUACCUUUGCUCUCUCCCGAAGGCAGCUCGUCUACCUUAUACCUUCAGGGAGGAACUUCCUGGGGCUUCUGGUAGCCUUUGGCCCAAGAAAUGUACCUGAGACUGAGAGUAGCUUAUAAGCAGCUUUACCUACAUGAAAUGUUGCCUUAAAUCUAUAAACUUGACAAACCAGCAUUUUCACGUUCUGUUUCUUGGCCCAAAGGUUUUGUUGCUGUUGAUGUUGGGGGAUAUUUUAUGCUGGUUUAUUGGGGCCUUCAUCCUAGUGAAAGGAGCAAUGUUUAGAAGUCCAGAGUCAUAGAUUUUGGCCCCAGCUCUACCAUGGACGAGCCAUGUCACUUUGAGCAAGUCAUGGAAUCACAGGACUUUAGAACUGAAAGGAAAGCCAGAAAGGAUCUGGGCAAACCCCUUAGAUGAAGAAACGAGGCAACGAAUAAGGUGGGAAAUGAGAGAUGAAGGAAUUGAGGUACGGAAAGAAUCAAGUACCUUGCUCAAGGUCAUCUGCCACGUUCCCGCAGAUACUGACUGUUAGGGUCAGGUGUAAGGCAGGGUAAAGAUAGGAGUGAGAGGCUAAAAAAUUUAGCAAAGGCUUUAUUUGGGAACUAAGGUCUCGGGCGAGGUUCUGUGACUCAGGGAGAGAGAGAGAGGAGUCAGGGAAGUCGCGCCCAGGUAUGGUGGGGUAGGGUUUUUAAGCUGCGGCAGUUCUGGGUUUAGGCUCGGGUGGGUCUUUCUCUUGUGCCAGGUUGUGAUGGCGCUCGGUGAUUGGUUGACCUUCAGUUUGUUCCAGUACGCUGCUCAGGGCUUCAGUUUGUUCGGGCGUGCUGGCAAGAGGGCCAUCCCCUUCCAGGGACAUCCUAACAUUCCAACCUCUUAUUGGUGAUAAUGGGCGAGGGAUCUGAUCUGGCUGCUUCCUGCGGGUGUAAGGGUGAUGCCAUAGUAUGUGGGGUCUGAGGUUGGAAUGCAGGAAUAGGGCCGGACCACCAUCCGAUGAAAUGCGACCUGGGAAACUUCAUGAAUUCGUUUCCAUAUGAAACGGAGAAAACAAGGUAAGAGCAUAAGUAUUAUACAGAUAGAAACUAGUGGGGUGACUAUGGGGAGGAGCCAAGUUAGGUGGGGUGAUUGCCACCAGGAGGUUAGGGGGUCUGAGGAUCCUGGGUGGGCAGGUAGAGUUUUUUGGAUUUCCUUUAGGUGUUCUAUAUUGGUUUCAACUAAGCCUGACUCAUUGAGGUAGUAGCAACAUUCUUCCCUCAGGAACAGGCAUGUUCCCCCUUUUUCUGCUGUCAGGAGAUCUAGGGCUCGUUGGUUUGGUUUUGUAGAGUGACCUGUGCUAGGGAGUUGAUCUGCCUUUGUAAGUCAGAUAGGGAGGUUGAUGAGGCUUCUAUUGUGAUCUGGAGCCUGUCUGACAGGUCCCUGGAGGAGGUAAUGGAUGGAGUGUGUGAGGGAGCCGGUCCCAACCCUGGCGGCCAAUAGGGACGUGGCUAGCGAGAGACCAUUAGUGGGAGGAAAACGACUCGUUUUUGGAGACGGAAUUCGAGGAGUUGAUGGAGUUCUUCCUGUCCGUAUAGGAAGCUUUUUCCAGGGCUUCUUAUUACCAGCUCGCAUUGGAGCAGCUGCACAGCUACCCCGAGGCCCUGGCGGCUCUGGGCCCUCCGCUUUUGUCCAUUAGCUCCACCUCACCGACAAGUACAGCUUCGUGGACAUUGCCGAUGCCCAGUGGUUUUUUGAAUAUGGUUGUAAGUACUCAGAGCCCUGAGUUUGCACAUAAGGUCUCUGCCAGAUAGGAGGACUGCCACUGACCUCACCAAACCAUCCAAAGAGGGCCAGGACAUUUGGAGGGAGCCAGAUGGAAAAUCAGUUGAAGAUUCCAGUCUCUGGAACCAAGUUAGAGGGCCAUAACUAUGUCAGCUCAUCCAGAGAUGCCCCCUUUCAGAGGUAUUAUGGGAAGGUGGCACCUUCAGAAGGUCUUAAAGCUCAAGGGUGGUCAGCAGAUUCCCGUGUUUAAGCUCAGCAGGGACACUGGUGAUGAAGGAGGACAGGUGAUCAAAACGACUCUGCUUUCUCCAAGAGUGGCCUCCCCUCCUCACCGGGUCCCUCCAGGGCCUUGAGCCGGGUGUCCAGCACCAGGGGUGACUGUACAUGCUGGCAUGUGGUAAUUUUGGUAUAAUGUUAAUUUGACCACGGUUAUUGCAGGUUUUUAAUUUAAUAAAAAAUGGACAUUUUA